UUGCUCUAUGCCCUAUUUUGUAUGUUUUUCAUUUAUAGGUGAAGAGGCUGGAGCACAGAGAGGUGAAAUAAUUUGGCCAAGGCCACACAACUGGAAAGCGGGACUAAAGAAAGGCCAGGACUGAAGAUGGAGAACACAGGAUCAUGCACAGGAGGAACCACUGAUGACAGCUCCAAGGAAGAGAGAGAGAGAAAGGAACACAGGGUGAAUGAACCUGCACUCUUAAUCCGGAGCCAGACUUUGUCAUGAGAAGGAGCAAAGAAUGUUGUCCUAACUCCCAAAGCUGGGUCUUUGCAUAUCAGGGGCCAAGCAUGGUGGCAUCUGAUCAUCAAGUUUGCUUAUCUAAAUCAUGGACUGUGAAAGGAGAAUCAUACCUGUCAGGUACCUCCAUGUCACAACUCUUGGUCUUAUCUCUGAGAUACACUGAGCUUCUGGUCUUUUGGCCCAAUCUCCCCCAGCUCUUGAUGCGCCAAGUCUUUCCUGUGGGAGCUGGAGAAGAAAAGGACUGUAAAAGGAUCUUACUUUGAAAGUUACUGCAGUGGUCCAGAAUGCUCAAAGAUGCAUCUUUGAAGGGCAUGGAGCCCCGGAGAAGUUCUGACCUGUGUGAACCCUCUCUCCCGCUGCUAGAAGAUAACUCAGAGAGGCGGUUCUGAGGUCACUUCACUGGACACAUGUUGGAAGAAAGGAAAGGGACAGCCUCACUUUCCAGCAUUGUCCAGAUUCAUCAGGAAGCAAAUCGGGACUGCUUUGUCAACUCAUGAGGUGAUGUUUGAAAACAGCACGAGACAGAGUCUAAGACGUCUGUCUUCUCAGUUAAUGUAUCAUUCCUAUUAUGGAGAGAUGCCCAUUCUGUUGGGCUUCUUGUGGACAAGGGCUGGUUGUGCAUAGAAGGCCAGCCAAGCACACAAGAGUGCGUCAAAAGGGUGGAACAGAACCUGGCCAAAAGCAUCUCCUUCUUAAGUUACUCUUGGCUGAAGGUUUUCAUUAAUCCCCAGCCUGGGGGCAGAGAGAAAGAAAGGAUUGAUGGUUGAUAAUAGUUAUUACUGAAUACCUACUAUGUGCUCGCUGUGUACUAUGUAUGUAUGUAUGCUGAAUACCUACUAUGCUCCAGGUGAAAACCUUCACAAUUACACCACGUUAUGCAAGCCUCAAGACAAGUUUAUAAAAUAGCUGUCCGAUGUAGCUCAUUUUUAGCUGGAGAAGACAAGACUAAGAGAGGUUAAGUUCUUGGCCUCUGAUUACACUGAGGUGGGAGCAGAACUCACUUGCCUGACCUGGGAGCCCACUCUAGCUGCUGCAGCAAGAGCUUCCCUAGAGUAUUUGUGCUUGCUUUGUGUGAUUGUCUACCACACGUGUGCAUGGCCCAAAGUUAUAGAUUUAAUACGCUGAUUAUAGCGCAUUCCCUCAUAGGGCCUUUCUAAGUUUCAGUGAAUCCUUUGUCAUUUUUAUACAUGUCUCCAGACAUCGUUCAGGGGUAAGCCUGAGUCAGUCAGAUACAGACAGGGACUGGCCAUCAAGAAAGCAAUGGUCCUCACAGAACGGGCCACACUGGGUCUCUCCCAGACCUAUCUGACUAAAUCACCCUUGCUCUCAGGACUGGAUGGCUGCUGAUUUCGAAGGUUUUGAGAAAGCUUCCCCAGCUGUGCAGGCUCUGUCUGCCCCAUCUACUGAGUUGGAUGCAAAUUCCCAGGAACAUGAAUCACCUGCUUUUCUCUAGGGUUUUGCUCCAUCCCUGGCUCCAAAUAUUUCAUAGCAGCAAUGCCAAAAAGAAGCCCUGAGAGAGAGGAAAGCUUGCAUAUUAAUUCCAGUGGCGACGUAAUGAGAAUUUCAUUCACUUACUUUGAAUUCCCUGGUGUUCCCCCAUCCUCCCCUUGGUUCAUUAACUCUCCGUACCUUGCCCGGCUGCUGAAUCUCAAAAGAAUGGAUGCACUCUCGUUUCCUCCAGCAGUUUGCCUGGUCCUCUCCUCCCUGCAUUUCCCCCAGGCCCUCACACAUACAUCUGCUCCCGCCCCUAACAGAGGUCUUUAUCCAGGCACGGAGUGUGUUAUUCUCGCUCUCCAGGAGAAGACAGCCUCCUUAGAGUGAGGGCUUCUCCUAAGUUCUGCAAUCCUAUCAGGCUCUGCUGGGCUUCCCGUCUCUGAUAUUGGUGUGUGUGUGUGUGUGUGUGUGUGUGUGAGCGCGCGCGUGUGCAUGCGCACAGUCCAUGGUUCUCCCCCUCAACCCAACACAACAGACGCCCUCAUUUAUUUCAGAGAGGGACCUAACUCAGUUGUGUUCAAAAUACAACAAAACGCCUUUCCGUAAUCUGAGCCUAUAAUUCCAGAUGAAGAUUUAGGAGUAUGAAAACUUGUACAGGGAUGGGGGGGGGGGGGUUGUGGUUUGGGGCGAAAGUGUAAACUGGAAUUUAUAAGCCACCCAGCACAGGUUAGAGCCAAGAGCUGACAGUUUCAUUCUCAGUUUAGAUGAAGAAGCAAACAUGCUUUUACAGCAGAACAAUCUCAUUUAAUCUUUGCUAACCACUUCUGCCAGAAGGUGUCUCUGAAAUACCUGAGCAGGGGUGCGUGUGGGUAUGCUUGCAUGCAUGUGUCAUCUCACCGCAUAAACUAGGGAAUGUAGACGAGGGCACUGUUCCUCCCCGUCCUGUAGAUGUGCUUUCACUGCUCUAAGUUGGCUGCAGGGCUGAAUACACUCUUCAGGCUUUGGAGGCGCAGGGCUGACUCCAUGGGUGUGUACAUGGGCCAGCACAUGCGGUAGGACUCUGCACUUGCCAAUGCUGUGCUGUUGCUGUCUUAAAAUUCUUAACGAUUUAUAUACAACAAGGGAUCUGCACUCUCCGUUUAGCACUAGGACCCAUAAUUAGGCAGCUGAUCCUAUUGAGAAGCAGAUCAUAGAUAGAACAAUGGCUAAAAACACCAAAUAGAAAUGAGUUGUGUGAUCUUGGGUCAGUCACUUCACCCUGCCGAGCCUCAGCUGGGCUCAAAUUUGGAGGCUCUCAACUCUGGCCGUACCUCUGAAUCACCAGAGGAGCUCUGGAGGAAUAUCAAUGUACUAGAAUCCAUUUGGAAAGGGCACUGGCAGCAGAAUUGUUCUGAAGUUUUUUUUGAAAUUCUGCAGGUGAUUCUGAUGCAAAAUUGUUUUUGAAAACAUAAUCCUGGGUAAUCUAAGCUCUGUUUUCUGUGCUCGUGUAUUCAUUUUCCUUGGUAUCUGUUUGAAUUCCUGUGACUGCUAUAUUCCAUUCUGUAAUACGGGUAUGCUUGUUUUAAUUUAAAGCUAACAUUUUAAAUUUAUUACUAUCUAGUAAAAGGACACUGCAGGAAGAUGCACCAUAUUUAAUUUGUGUAUAAGUCAUGGCUUUGCACCCUCAGAUGUGUGUGCAGCCCACUUUGACAGGCCUAGGACUAGACUGGUUAUGGUCUUUAAGGACCUUUAUUGCUUCAAUAUUCUUUGGGCCUGUGGCCUGUCUUGCGCAGAUCUCUCCACAGGUGGCCAUAUUCAUGUGAGAAAUGAAUUCCUUAGAUGUAUGUGUCCUGCCCUGCUAACAUCACCAACCCUGGGCCUUCAAGGAAGUUCAAUGACUAAAGAUCAAGGUCAAAACAGGGAGUGAUUGGUGUAGGCCCAGGGAAGGAAUCUGAAUUCUCAGCUGCUCCAGCAAGUUAACAGAAGAGUCUCACCCUUAGUCACAUCGGGAAACAUCAAUACUGUUGAAUAGUUUAUACCAAGUUAGAUCUCUUAGAGCUGCCCUGGGAUUGCUCUGGGCAAAACAUGACAAAGGUCAAUUUGCCUUUGUUCUCUUCAGAACCCUCAAAGAGGGUUUGUUCUCUUUGUUCUCUUCAGUCCCUUGUUCUCUUCAGAAUCCCUCAAAAUGACCAAUAUGUUCAAGGGUAUUUCUGCCAGCCUAAUCAGGCCUGCCCACUAGGGGAUUAGUAUAUUCCAUGACCCAAACCACCUUUCUUCUGUCACAUAGCUGCCCUUGGAACAGGAUUUGAUAAACUAAUUCUCACUAAAGUGUCAAUGACUGGUGCAGUCUCCUUAGUUCUUUCCAAGUGUAGUAUAUUGCAACAAGGCUGCAUUUGCUUAGUCCAAAAGAAUGUGGCUUUAAGAUAGAAUUUGAGGCACGAAUGGCAAUCAAGGAGGGGUCUAGUUAGACCUAGAGCAGGCUUCCUGGACCUCCUCAAAUAACACAGCUCCUCUGGCAGUUGGCCAUAUGUUUGUCAUUUAAGCAACAAAUAAUGCUAUCAGCAAGCAAGUCUUUGAACAUAUGAAAGCAUGUAUUAAAAAAUCAACCGACCAAAUAAAUGUAAAACCCAAGGAUAUAACUUGAAU
This is a long non-coding RNA of Acinonyx jubatus (cheetah), 4323 nucleotides long. RefSeq lists it as uncharacterized. The transcript is spliced from 5 exons. The record is from RefSeq and is a predicted model, not a curated record. NCBI's taxonomy places the organism in Eukaryota, Metazoa, Chordata, Mammalia, Carnivora, Felidae.